UUGAACUGAAGAGUUUGAUCAUGGCUCAGAUUGAACGCUGGCGGCAGGCCUAACACAUGCAAGUCGAGCGGAUGAAGGGAGCUUGCUCCUGAAUUCAGCGGCGGACGGGUGAGUAAUGCCUAGGAAUCUGCCUGGUAGUGGGGGACAACGUUUCGAAAGGAACGCUAAUACCGCAUACGUCCUACG
This 186-nucleotide ribosomal RNA is filed under the name Pseudomonas sp. NFIX46. RNAcentral's name for it is "partial 16S rRNA. Bacterial SSU". It matches the Rfam family "Bacterial small subunit ribosomal RNA", at positions 1 to 184 of the family's 1533-position model. The record is from RNAcentral. Lineage: Bacteria; Pseudomonadati; Pseudomonadota; Gammaproteobacteria; Pseudomonadales; Pseudomonadaceae.